Molecule: ribosomal RNA, 512 nt
Filed under: uncultured bacterium
Lineage: Bacteria
Description: partial 16S ribosomal RNA
Rfam family: Bacterial small subunit ribosomal RNA
Source: RNAcentral
GACGAACGCUGGCGGCGUGCUUAACACAUGCAAGUCGAACGAAAAGAGGGAAAGAGCUUGCUCUUUCCGGAAUUGAGUGGCAAACGGGUGAGUAACACGUAAACAACCUGCCUUCAGGAUGGGGACAACAGACGGAAACGACUGCUAUACCGAAUAAGUUCCAAGGGCCGCAUGGCCCAUGGAAGAAAAGGUGGCCUCUACCUGUAAGCUAUCGCCUGAAGAGGGGUUUGCGUCUGAUUAGCUGGUUGGAGGGGUAACGGCCCACCAAGGCGACGAUCAGUAGGCGGGCUGAGAGGAGGAAAGGCCACACUGGAACUGAGACACGGGCCAGGACUCUACGGGAGGCAGCAGUGGGGAAUCUUCCGCAAUGGGCGAAAGCCUGACGGAGCAACGCCGCGUGAGUGAUGACGGCCUUCGGGUUGUAAAACUCUGUGAUCCGGGACGAAAAGGCAGAGUGCGAAGAACAAACUGCAUUGACGGUACCGGAAAAGCAAGCCACGGCUAACUACGUG